CCUGGGCAGGUGGUGGUGUUGGUUGUGGGCGGUGAGGUCCGGGGCUGUCUGAGAGGUUCGCACUGGUUGAAGACCGAAGCCCCCGGGUCCUCCUCGCCCUGCCGGCCGGGGUAAGCGUCUCUCACGCCGGGGGGGCAGCCGGCCUUCCCCCGGGUCCUCUCCGCUCCGGGAGCGCGGUCAAAGCUCUCCGCCAUGGCCGAGCUGAGAGCGAGCAGAGGCGGACACAGCUCACACGAUCAUCCGCCGGACCCGAGUCUGGUCAGAUUAAUCGAUUAAAGCUGAUCGAGUCCGGUGUGUGUGCUAUCUCGGGCGCGCGGGCGGCGGGGUCACAGCGGGGGGCCGGAGAUCUUAUUUAUUUACUGAAUAUUCCGGUUACAGAUCCAAUCUGGACUACAAACACCUCCCAGC
Long non-coding RNA from Astyanax mexicanus (Mexican tetra), 408 nucleotides. RefSeq lists it as uncharacterized. The record is from RefSeq and is a predicted model, not a curated record. The transcript has 2 exons. Lineage: Eukaryota; Metazoa; Chordata; Actinopteri; Characiformes; Acestrorhamphidae.